GUGCAGUUAGUAUAGUGGUAGUACGCUCGCUCCUUAGACACGACUGCUGGGGGCCCCCACGGAAGUCGUCCGAGUUGAGUAUCCCGGGUUCGACUCCCGGACUGCACA
Neurospora hispaniola is the source of this 108-nucleotide non-coding RNA. Lineage: Eukaryota; Fungi; Ascomycota; Sordariomycetes; Sordariales; Sordariaceae. The record is from the annotation of a RefSeq genome assembly.